AUUGAACGCUGGCGGCAGGCCUAACACAUGCAAGUCGAGCGGAUGAAGGGAGCUUGCUCCUGGAUUCAGCGGCGGACGGGUGAGUAAUGCCUAGGAAUCUGCCUGGUAGUGGGGGAUAACGUCCGGAAACGGGCGCUAAUACCGCAUACGUCCUGAGGGAGAAAGUGGGGGAUCUUCGGACCUCACGCUAUCAGAUGAGCCUAGGACGGAUUAGCUAGUUGGUGGGGUAACGGCCUACCAAGGCGACGAUCCGUAACUGGUCUGAGAGGAUGAUCAGUCACACUGGAACUGAGACACGGUCCAGACUCCUACGGGAGGCAGCAGUGGGGAAUAUUGGACAAUGGGCGAAAGCCUGAUACAGCCAUGCCGCGUGUGUGAAGAAGGUCUUCGGAUUGUAAAGCACUUUAAGUUGGGAGGAAGGGCAGUAAGUUAAUACCUUGCUGUUUUGACGGUACCAACAGAAUAAGCACCGGCUAACUUCGUG
Molecule: ribosomal RNA, 484 nt
Filed under: uncultured bacterium
Lineage: Bacteria
Description: partial 16S ribosomal RNA
Rfam family: Bacterial small subunit ribosomal RNA
Source: RNAcentral